AGCAGCAGCCACGGGAAUACGAAGGGUGCAAGCGUUACUCGGAAUUACUGGGCGUAAAGCGUGCGUAGGUGGUGGUUUAAGUCCGUUGUGAAAGCCCUGGGCUCAACCUGGGAAUUGCAGUGGAUACUGGGUCACUAGAGUGUGGUAGAGGAUAGUGGAAUUUCCGGUGUAGCAGUGAAAUGCGUAGAGAUCGGAAGGAACAUCUGUGGCGAAGGCGACUAUCUGGGCCAACACUGACACUGAGGCACGAAAGCGUGGGGAGCAAACAGGAUUAGAUACCCCCGUAGUCCCUGUCUCUUAUAU
This 303-nucleotide ribosomal RNA is filed under the name uncultured bacterium. Its description in RNAcentral is "partial 16S ribosomal RNA". It matches the Rfam family "Bacterial small subunit ribosomal RNA", at positions 507 to 809 of the family's 1533-position model. The record is from RNAcentral.